Molecule: ribosomal RNA, 148 nt
Filed under: Stramenopiles sp.
Lineage: Eukaryota
Description: partial small subunit ribosomal RNA
Rfam family: Eukaryotic small subunit ribosomal RNA
Source: RNAcentral
UUAGUUGGUGGAGUGAUUUGUCUGGUUAAUUCCGUUAACGAACGAGACCUCAGCCUGCUAAAUAGCGACACUAUCCUCACGGAUGGUGAUCGACUUCUUAGAGGGACAAUGUGUGUUUAACGCAUGGAAGUUUGAGGCAAUAACAGGU